AGAGUUGUCACCAGGUGGCACCAUUAACCUAAGUUAUGUUUCAGUGAGGUGAAUGCAAUGAAGUUUAUGUUCAAAAGGAAUUUAGUAGAGAGAUUGCUCUUUUCACCUUCCUUCAAAGUAAACAAACAGUACAGAGAAUAGGCCAAAUACUUCUGUUCACUGGCACGUUGUAGAUUAUUUCAUGCAUUUGCAGUGCUAUAAUAGGGUGAAGAUUCUUCCCUGCUUUGUGUAUGAUAGCUUCAAAAAGAAAGCAACCAGACAUGGAACUACCUUUCACACUUCAUUGCCAGCGGCUCUUGCAUGUGAUGUCCUUGGAUGCCCAAAAGAUUAGCCAGUCUCAUCCAUCUGGCCCAUGUCACAAGGAUCAAGGAGAUUUCUCCAUCUACAAACUUAAGCUCAUGCUCUCUGAAAGUGAAGAGAACAAAUUGAAAGUUAGAAUCUGA
This 443-nucleotide long non-coding RNA is filed under the name Chloebia gouldiae (Gouldian finch). RNAcentral's name for it is "Erythrura gouldiae (Gouldian finch) lncRNA (ENSEGOG00005006133.1)". The record is from RNAcentral. Lineage: Eukaryota; Metazoa; Chordata; Aves; Passeriformes; Passeridae.